CAAUAGCGUAUAUUAAAGUUGUUGCAGUUAAAAAGCUCGUAGUUGGAUUUCUGGUGGGAGCGAUCGGUCUGGCGCUUAGCGCGAGUACUUGCAUCGUCUCCGGCCAUCCUUGGGGAGAGUCUGUCUGGCAUUAGGUUGUCGGGCAGAGGAUCCUCAUCGUUUACUGUGAAAAAAUUAGAGUGUUCAAAGCAGGCUUAUGCCGUUGAAUACAUUAGCAUGGAAUAAUAAGAUAGGACUUUGGCACUAUUUUGUUGGUUUGCGCACCAAAGUAAUGAUUAAUAGGGACAGUUGGGGGUAUUCGUAUUCCGUUGUCAGAGGUGAAAUUCUUGGAUUUACGGAAGACGAACUACUGCGAAAGCAUUUACCAAGGAUGUUUUCAUUAA
RNAcentral lists this ribosomal RNA (383 nucleotides) under uncultured eukaryote. RNAcentral describes it as "partial 18S ribosomal RNA". It matches the Rfam family "Eukaryotic small subunit ribosomal RNA", at positions 592 to 976 of the family's 1831-position model. The record is from RNAcentral.